GGCACGGAUCACCCUAUCCAACGUGCCGCCGUUUAUUAGUGAUGAGUUCCUGAUACGGGAGCUGUCUAGGCAUGGGAAGGUGGUCUCUCCCAUCCGCAAAAUGUCAUCAGGGUGUAAGUCACCGCUGCUGAGACACGUAGUGUCUCACCGCAGGCAGGUACAUAUGAUCCUCAAUAAUAAGGCGGAGGAGUUCAACUAUCGGUUCAUAGUCAGGGUAGAUGACUUCGAUUACACCCUUUUUGCAACCUCCUCCGCCCUCAAAUGUUUCAAUUGUAGAGAGGAGGGUCAUCUGGCGAGGGCUUGUCCGAACCGUGUGGCCCCGGACGCGCCGGCGGCGGAGCCCGCCGCCCCCGCAAGGCGUCGGUGGCUCAGUGCGGAGGAAAGCCCCGCUGCCCCGGACGGAGCGGUAGCGGAGAAGCGGGACGAGUGUGCGUGUGAGAGUGAGGUGAGUGGAGGGAGCGAGAGUGUUGAAAUGGUGGUGGAAAUGAGUGGUGAGAGUGGUGAAUCAAGGGGGAAGGUGGACUUAACUGUGGUGGUGAGUGAUUUGAGUGGCGUGAUGAUUGAUGGUGUGUGUGAUUUGAAUGAACUGGAAAAAAAUGGUGAGGUGAUGAGUGAAACAGGAAAAAUGGGUGAAGCAGGAGAGACUGGGGACACGAUCCAAACAGGUAAGCUAGGGGGAGUGAGUCAAGUGAUGAGUGAACUUGGGGUGCCAGGGAUAGCGGCUGGUGAAGUGAGAGAAAAAGCAGUGAGCACAGGUGAGUGGGGGGAGGAAGCAGUGAGCACAGGGGAGCGAGGUGAGGGAGCAGUGAGCACAGGGGAGGGAGCAGUGAGCACAGGUGGGGAAACAGUCAGCACAGGUGGGGAAACAGUCAGCGCAGGUGAGGGAGUAGUGAGCGCAGGUGAGGGAGCAGUGAGCACAGGGGAGGGAGCAGUGAGCGCAGGUGAGGGAGUAGUGAGCGCAGGUGAGGGAGUAGUGAGCACAGGGGAGGGAGCAGUGAGCGCAGGUGAGGGAGUAGUGAGCGCAGGUGAGAGCGCUAGUGGUGUGUCUGAGUGGUGGCUUGUUCCCGCGAGGCGGCGCAACAAGCGAAAAUGUGCGAUGAAAGAUAAGGGAGAUAGUAAAACCAGGCGGCUGGAGGAUGCAACCGCUGGCACGGACACCAGCGACUGCGAGUCCAUGUCGGACUGCAGUUCGCUAUCCGAUACAAUGCCAGACGGGCAUGAAAGCAAUUUGUACCCUCCCAGCAUGCUAAGUAACUUCCUGAGACAGACCAAGGGCAUGAAGGGCCUUAAUCUGGAAAAACAUUUUCCCGACAUGCUCCUCUUCGUCCAGUCGGCGAGUCACUUGAUCAAACAUAGGGCCACGUCAGACCUCACCAACCCUGAAAUCUUCAGGCUUAAGAAGCAUAUGGGCAAAGCGAGGAAACAGCUCAACAUAUAAAAAAAGACUUGCGAUGUUUCCUUGGUUGUUUUUUUUACUGUCUUUGAUUUUAAACCUCACCUCACUAUGCACACUUUUAGAGUGGGAACGUUGAAUGUAAACGGCGCCAGGGACGCAAAGAAACGGGCACUAGUGUUCGACACAGCAAAAAGAAAACGAGUUGAUGUCAUGUUCCUCCAGGAGACCCACAGCGACCGGAACAAUGAAGCAGACUGGGAGAAGGA
This 1662-nucleotide long non-coding RNA is filed under the name Takifugu rubripes (torafugu). RNAcentral describes it as "lncRNA (ENSTRUG00000026108.1)". The record is from RNAcentral. Lineage: Eukaryota; Metazoa; Chordata; Actinopteri; Tetraodontiformes; Tetraodontidae.